This 145-nucleotide unclassified non-coding RNA is filed under the name soil metagenome. RNAcentral's name for it is "partial internal transcribed spacer 1". The record is from RNAcentral.
UAAUAAGUGGUUUAUGGCACUUUUUAAAUCCAUAUCCACCUUGUGUGCAAUGUCAGUCGAUCUUCUUCAUGGAGAUCGACCAAACAUCAACCUUUAUCUUUUAACUCUUUGUCUGAAAAAUAUUAUGAAUAAACAAUUCAAAAUA